GCGAAAAGAACCCCGGCGAGGGGAGUGAAAAAGAACCUGAAACCGUGUACGUACAAGCAGUGGGAGCACGCUUAGGCGUGUGACUGCGUACCUUUUGUAUAAUGGGUCAGCGACUUAUAUUCUGUAGCAAGGUUAACCGAAUAGGGGAGCCGAAGGGAAACCGAGUCUUAACUGGGCGUUAAGUUGCAGGGUAUAGACCCGAAACCCGGUGAUCUAGCCAUGGGCAGGUUGAAGGUUGGGUAACACUAACUGGAGGACCGAACCGACUAAUGUUGAAAAAUUAGCGGAUGACUUGUGGCUGGGGGUGAAAGGCCAAUCAAACCGGGAGAUAGCUGGUUCUCCCCGAAAGCUAUUUAGGUAGCGCCUCGUGAAUUCAUCUCCGGGGGUAGAGCACUGUUUCGGCAAGGGGGUCAUCCCGACUUACCAACCCGAUGCAAACUGCGAAUACCGGAGAAUGUUAUCACGGGAGACACACGGCGGGUGCUAACGUCCGUCGUGAAGAGGGAAACAACCCAGACCGCCAGCUAAGGUCCCAAAGUCAUGGUUAAGUGGGAAACGAUGUGGGAAGGCCCAGACAGCCAGGAUGUUGGCUUAGAAGCAGCCAUCAUUUAAAGAAAGCGUAAUAGCUCACUGGUCGAGUCGGCCUGCGCGGAAGAUGUAACG
RNAcentral lists this ribosomal RNA (663 nucleotides) under Escherichia coli. RNAcentral describes it as "partial 23S ribosomal RNA". It matches the Rfam family "Bacterial large subunit ribosomal RNA", at positions 514 to 1177 of the family's 2925-position model. Lineage: Bacteria; Pseudomonadati; Pseudomonadota; Gammaproteobacteria; Enterobacterales; Enterobacteriaceae. The record is from RNAcentral.